GAGCCCGUGGUCCAGCGGUUAAGACGCUACCUUGACAUGGUAGAUAUCCCCGGUUCGAAUCCGGGCGGGCUCA
RNAcentral lists this transfer RNA (73 nucleotides) under Microcaldota archaeon. RNAcentral describes it as "Micrarchaeota archaeon tRNA". It matches the Rfam family "tRNA". Rfam says of the family: Transfer RNA (tRNA) molecules are approximately 80 nucleotides in length. The record is from Rfam by way of RNAcentral. RNAcentral also lists the same sequence under 1 other name. Lineage: Archaea; Nanobdellati; Microcaldota.